This 983-nucleotide long non-coding RNA is filed under the name Homo sapiens (human). RNAcentral describes it as "long non-coding RNA NONHSAT017389.2". Lineage: Eukaryota; Metazoa; Chordata; Mammalia; Primates; Hominidae. The record is from RNAcentral.
CAAAGCUGACCACAACAGCCACUACGACUGAGUCCACUGGAUCCACGGCCACCCCGUCCUCCACCCCAGGGACCACCUGGAUCCUCACAGAGCCGAGCACUACAGCCACCGUGACGGUGCCCACCGGAUCCACGGCCACCGCCUCCUCCACCCAGGCAACUGCUGGCACCCCACAUGUGAGCACCACGGCCACGACACCCACAGUCACCAGCUCCAAAGCCACUCCCUUCUCCAGUCCAGGGACUGCAACCGCCCUUCCAGCACUGAGAAGCACAGCCACCACACCCACAGCUACCAGCUUUACAGCCAUCCCCUCCUCCUCCCUGGGCACCACCUGGACCCGCCUAUCACAGACCACCACACCCACGGCCACCAUGUCCACAGCCACACCCUCCUCCACUCCAGAGACUGCCCACACCUCCACAGUGCUUACCACCACGGCCACCACAACCAGGGCCACCGGCUCUGUGGCCACCCCCUCUUCCACCCCAGGAACAGCUCACACUACCAAAGUGCCGACUACCACAACCACGGGCUUCACAGUCACCCCCUCCUCCAGCCCAGGGACGGCACGCACGCCUCCAGUGUGGAUCAGCACAACCACCACACCCACAACCAGUGGCUCCACGGUGACCCCCUCCUCCGUCCCGGGGACCACCCACACCCCCACAGUGCUGACCACCACCACCACAACUGUGGCCACUGGUUCUAUGGCAACACCCUCCUCUAGCACACAGACCAGUGGUACUCCCCCAUCACUGAUCACCACGGCCACUACGAUCACGGCCACCGGCUCCACCACCAACCCCUCCUCAACUCCAGGGACAACACCUAUCCCCCCAGUGCUGACCACCACCGCCACCACACCUGCAGCCACCAGCAGCACAGUGACUCCCUCCUCUGCCCUAGGGACCACCCACACACCCCCAGUGCCGAACACCACGGCCACCACACACGGGCGAUCCCUGUCCCCCAGCAGUCCC